CGAGCCGGGCACUCUGGAGGGACUGCCGGCGACAAGCCGGAGGAAGGUGGGGAUGACGUCAAGUCAUCAUGGCCCUUAUGUCCAGGGCGACACACGUGCUACAAUGGCCGGCACAGCGGGAAGCGGAGGGGCGACCCUGAGCGGAUCCCUUGAAAGCCGGUCCCAGUUCGGAUUGCAGUCUGCAACUCGACUGCAUGAAGUUGGAAUCGCUAGUAAUCGCGGAUCAGCCAAGCCGCGGUGAAUACGUUCCCGGGCCUU
Molecule: ribosomal RNA, 258 nt
Filed under: uncultured Thermovirga sp.
Lineage: Bacteria; Thermotogati; Synergistota; Synergistia; Synergistales; Thermovirgaceae
Description: partial 16S ribosomal RNA
Rfam family: Bacterial small subunit ribosomal RNA
Source: RNAcentral